This 409-nucleotide long non-coding RNA is filed under the name Ananas comosus (pineapple). RNAcentral's name for it is "long non-coding RNA (ACOM_LNC043025)". Lineage: Eukaryota; Viridiplantae; Streptophyta; Magnoliopsida; Poales; Bromeliaceae. The record is from RNAcentral.
UUGUGAGUACGAGUAGAGCAGGUUUUAUCUACAUGUGAUAUCUGUGACCUAGUCGGUCGGUAUUUGUAUCUCGUACCUGUGACCUAUUCGGUCGGCUUAUUGCAUUGUUAUCGUGAUCUACUUGGUCGGUUGGACUACUUGGUGACCUAUACGAUCGGCAUGCCCUGAGGGGCAGGAUUGUUGGUUAGUUGCCGACGGUUGGCUAUUGAGCAUAUCAGCAUUGAUCGCCCGAGACUCGUACGCAUUUCACGAAUACCAACGGUCUGAUCCACCGCAAGAGCGUGUUCUUUUCCGUAAAAGUGGUUGGGUGUGCCAACCCGUGAGCCCAGCGGCCUAGGCUGGGUUAUAUGCAGGUAGAGUAGCAGUGGCACAGGCUUGAGGUUUGCGCUGCGGACCAACAGGGCAUUGG